RNAcentral lists this ribosomal RNA (479 nucleotides) under uncultured Planctomycetota bacterium. Its description in RNAcentral is "bacterial SSU rRNA". It matches the Rfam family "Bacterial small subunit ribosomal RNA", at positions 364 to 833 of the family's 1533-position model. Lineage: Bacteria; Pseudomonadati; Planctomycetota. The record is from RNAcentral.
UUUCGCAAUGCCCGAAAGGGUGACGAAGCGACGCCGCGUGCGGGAAGAAGGCCUUCGGGUUGUAAACCGCUGUCGGGAGUUAAGAAAUGUAAGGAUGUUAAUAGCAUCUUUGCUUGACUAAGGCUCCGGAGGAAGCCACGGCUAACUCUGUGCCAGCAGCCGCGGUAAUACAGAGGCGGCAAGCGUUGUUCGGAAUUAUUGGGCGUAAAGAGCACGUAGGCGGCUAUGUAAGUCGGUUGUGAAAGCCUUCCGCUCAACGGGAGAACAGCAUCCGAUACUGCAUGGCUUGAGUGCGGGAGGGGAGAGUGGAACUUCUGGUGGAGCGGUGAAAUGCGUAGAUAUCAGAAGGAACGCCGGCGGCGAAAGCGGCUCUCUGGCCCAUAACUGACGCUGAGUGUGCGAAAGCUAGGGGAGCAAACGGGAUUAGAUACUCCGGUAGUCCUAGCCGUAAACGAUGGGCACUAAGUAGAGGGGUUUUA